GGAAUGGUAUGCAUGAGAUAACUGUGCAGCAUGAUAGAUUGCUCGAGCUUCGUAUUACGAAGUGUCGUGUUCUCCGUGUUUCUGUCCGUUGUCCUCAACUUCAAAGUUUGUCUCUAAAGCGCACUUCAACUGCUCAUGCCUUGCUUACUUGUCCCCUAUUACUUGAACUGGAUAUUGCAUCCUGCCACAAGCUUUCGGAUGUUGGGAUUCGUUCGGCG
This 218-nucleotide unclassified non-coding RNA is filed under the name Hevea brasiliensis (rubber tree). The record is from RNAcentral. Lineage: Eukaryota; Viridiplantae; Streptophyta; Magnoliopsida; Malpighiales; Euphorbiaceae.